CAGGCGCCCAGAGUCGUGUGCUCGUGGACACUCAGUGAGCCGCAGCCAUCCCUCCCCAUUCUGCUGACAGUGUCCCCACCUCCCAGAUGAGGAAACAGAGGCAGACGGGGUGAAGUGACUGUCCAGCAUCACACAGCUGGGAAGCGAGGUCGGAUUUAAACUGCAGCCUGGCAUUCUCUCCGCUGCCCAGCCCAGCCGCCCCUUAAGUGCUUCCGGUAACCCAGGCACCCUCCACCCUUGGCCUGGGGACACAAAGGCAAAUGGUCCCCGGCCUCCAAGAGCUUACAUCCAAAUGGGAACUGAGCUUGGUGUCUCGGAGCUGAAACAGGACAGUGUGAGGUAGCCGGCUGUCCGGGCAGCUUCGGGGGAGCUGCUGUGAGGAAAUGACCAGCGGCUGCUUUUGGAGAAGCUGGAGAGACUUACAGGAACCGAUGCCCAGGGCAGUGAGCAGAGCCAGGAGAUCAUGGUACACGGCCACAGCAUUAUGACGACCUGCUGCGAGGGACUCAGCCCUUUUCAACAAUGAGCUGGUUCAAGGCGGUUCCAGUCGACUUGGGAUGGAAAGUACCAUCUGCGGGCAGAGAGGCCCACGGGCACCGCAUGUGGACCAGCAGAGAUUUGCACCCUUCGUUGUUCGCUCGGUUCCCCCCUUUCUCAUGGUUUUUUCCUCCUUUUCUUGUGAAAUAUGUUUAGAAGAAAUGCACAUGUUUAACCUACACUGGAAUCCGAUAUCGCUUGCUGGCUGUCUGGGAGGGAGGGAGCAAACAAACAUAAGGCGUCGCAAGGGUGAACACUGGGAAGUCUUAUCGCCAUUCUGGGGAAAAUGCAAAGCUAUUAAAAGGAGCGGCUCAGUCUGAGGCCGUGAGAGGAUCGCCAGUGGGAGAAAGCCGGAGUUUGCUGAAGCAGCUCCGGGAAAGGGAAGUGGACACUGACUAACUGUUGUGUCCUCUCUCUCUCAUGGCUUUUCCCUUUUGCUGUUUUCUCUCAUGAAGGAAUAUGUAUUAAAAAAUUAAUGUACACGUGUAA
Molecule: long non-coding RNA, 1026 nt
Filed under: Sarcophilus harrisii (Tasmanian devil)
Lineage: Eukaryota; Metazoa; Chordata; Mammalia; Dasyuromorphia; Dasyuridae
Description: lncRNA (ENSSHAG00000031656.1)
Source: RNAcentral